AUAAUAAUAAUUAUCAUUUUUAUUAUUUAUGUUUUAUAUUUAUUCUAUUAAAACCAUAUGAUAUAAAAUUGUUAAUGUUUACCUUUAUAAAAAUAUAUAAAAUUUACUAAUUCACUAAAAUUCUUUGACAAUCUCUAUCACAAUCUAUUAAACAAGGUGCUGGUGAACUUUGUGGUUUAGUAAAAUUUUGAACACAUUCAAAUAACUUUUUAUGACACAUUUUAUUUCUUCUUGUAAUUUGUCUUUUAGCCUUUGCACAAUCAUCUAACAAAUAAUUACACCCUGACACAUAUGUUUCCAAUUCAGAGAUAUUAAGCUGUUGCUCACGAAACUCUAUCAUAAAAUUAAUAUAUUUUCUAUUCACAUUCGUAAUUUCUUUAGUUUUAUUUUGUAUGGUUUCUUCUAAUUUUAAAAUUGAUGUUCCCAGAUGAGCAUAUAUUUUGCGUACUUCUUCUUGAUGAGCGGUUUGGAUUGCUCUUCUGUCAAAUGUGUUUCGGUCUGUUAAAUUAUUAAGGAGAGAUUGGUAAUAUUUUUCUUUCAUUUCCAGUUCAUAAACUUUAUCUAAGUAAAGUUUGGUGCAGUUAUUUACCAAAUAAAAGUUUUUUAUGUAAUCUACUGCUGUUGAUUGUUUGGGCGAAAUAACUUCGACGUUAAUUUCAUUUGUUAUUUUAUUAAGUUUUGUUAAUUGAAAACUUUCAGAUUGCACUAAUAUACAUAAACUAACUGUAACUAGCAACUUGAAAAAAACCGCCAUGAUUACACCAUAAAAAUAAAUUAUACUAACUUAAAUAAUGAUUAGCAUAUAUUUAUAGUAAAUAAUUUGUUGAAUUAGCAUUUUAAUUAUCAUUAAAAAUAUGUUUUAUCACACCAGCGAUUGUUUUUAUUAUUUAAAAAGUUAAUUACUUCUAUUGAGAAGAAUGUUCAUUUUUUUAUUUUAGUUUUAUUUAAUAUUUUAUUUUUCGUCUUAUUCUUAUUUUUGAGGGUAAUAUUAAUUUUAGUGUAUAGAGUGAUAUUAUUGAGGUUUCUAUCUUUAAUUAAAAAAAUGAAUUUAAUCCAAUAAAAAUUUUAAAAAGAGCCGAUAUUAAAAAGUUUAAAUACUUGGGGGAUCUGCUUAAUUAAAUAGCCUUUGUGUUAUGCAAAAAUAUUUCUAUAACAAGGAUAUUCUAAUGGUGGCUAGGAGAAAUGUUUCAAUACCUUAAAUUUUUCCCUUAAACCGAGGGUGUUCCUAUGCCAAUAAUGGUAAUAAGCGGGAUGUACUACAUAACACAUUUUUUUAAUUAAAAAAAUAAUCUACUUUUAAUUUUAUAUUGUUUACAGAAAAACAUGUGUUCCAUCCCAACCAUAUUUACAAACGAGGAUGAGUAUUUAGCAUAUUUAUUAUGCUUGACGAAAGUCCCUCCACCUAACCGUUAGUAUAAUUAAAAAAUAUAAUAAUAUAUGCUUUAUUUAACUAAUUUUUAGGUAGAGAAUUUCAUGUAACAUUGGUAAUUCGGGGUAAUGUGGAGGUGUGUCCGAGUUAUACCACCCUCGUGAAUAUGGUAUGGAACAAUAAAAACAUCACAUGUUUUUAUAAAGUGGUGGAUGAUAAUCGACUAUCCAUCAUAAUAAGGUAAUUUUUUUGUUUAAUAUAUAAUGUUUAAUUUAAAUUUAUUUUAUUUUUUUUUUCAGGCUAUAUCCCAUAUAAAAGGAGUAUUUUCUCUAUAUAUGUUCUUUUUCACUAUAGCAAUUUAUUAUUAUUUAUAUUUAUUAUUAUUUUAUUUUUAUUUUCUACUAAUACUAAACAAAUAAAAUUAUCAGAAUUCAUUCGUUUUUCUUUCUUAGUGUCAUUUAUAGUUACACAAAAAGAUGUUUUAUCGUUAAUAAAAAUUUAUUGAUAUAAUCUGCGAUUAGUUAGCUUAUUUAGGAUAUACAGUAUUUCUACUUUUUGGAGUCAAUUCGGAUUUAUCAGAGUUAAAAAAUGUAUAUAAUAUAUACAACAGUUAUAAAAAUGUAAAUAACAAGUUUAUUCUAGCAUCAGUUUCAAACGGUUUGAAACUGAUGCUAGAAUAUAUAAACUUAUUAUAUCAUGCGUAUACUACCAUACAAUACACUCGUAUAAAAAUAAGAAGAAAAUUCUAUACUAAUAUUCUAUACUAAUUCUAUUCUAAUAUUAUAAAAAUCAAGACCAUAGAGGUAUAUAUUGACAUAGAAAGAGUAUCAUUCAAAGCAAAGUGGCGACACCAUCUUUCUUCUUUGGAUUAGUGCUGUUUCACUCUUACGCAUAUUAAGCUGAGACAGUUGUCCUCCUCUUCCGUGUAUAUACUCACACCUUAAUGUCAUCUUAGUUUCUCGGUACGAUGUGUUAGAAAAAGAUAGCGCAAACCAGUCGAAGAGACCGGAAGAGAUCUUGUCGUCAGGACGCGUAUAGUGAGGGCUCUCUCUAUGCUAAUAUUAACUCUAUAAUCAAGACCUUAUUAUGAAACGCUUAUUUACAAAUGAUUAAAAAAGAAGAAAAUUCUAGGCAACUUUUAUACAUGAUAAGAUACUUCUACGUUAUAAAAUUCCAACACCCCCUACACACAAAAUAGAAAAAACCAAUGUUAGCACCAUCUAGUUUUCUAUUCUAUCAUUACUUAAAAUCUAACCAAAUUAUUAUGUUUAUGAGUUUUAUGAUGCCCUUAUAUUUUUCAUGUUGUAAGGUUUUAGAGCAUAAAGGGUGUAUUUAUCAAGUUUUGGGAAAAACUUUGUUUAAAGUUCUAGACCAAAUUAAAAAAUUUAGGUAAGUACUACUUAGCCUGUUUUCAAUUGCAUAAUAUCCUGUUCCUGUAAGUUUGCAUAGGAAGUAUGAAGUCACCAUGUUUUCUAUGUGUUUAGAGAUCCUUUAUUUGUAUUUAACCUAAUUUCCUAGAAAAUUGUAAUUUACCAUUACGGUUGACAAGACUAAUGUUAUUUAUUAAUUUUUAAUAGAAUUUACAGUGUUAUGACUGAUUUUUUGUAAACUAACACUUUCAGUUUUUGUUUCUUGUAUGUAUACAUUUAUUAGUUGAUGGUAAUUUAUUUUUAGGUAUAACAUGCUAGAAGUAAAUGCAGGAAAAUAAAAUGUAGGGAAAACUGGAAAAAUUUUAUCUUUACAGACAAUUUGCAACUUGUUCUACAUUCUUCCAAAUCUAAUGGAUUAAGUUGAUCAGGACAAGUCAUAAAAUUUGAUUUAUGGUCACGUUAUUAAGCAGAUCAAAGAUGGUCUACUGUUUUUCCUUAUGUGAGGAAAACCUCAUAUGAUAGAUGGUCUUAACAGCAUGUUGAAUCCAGAUGGAUAAUUGCAGCAUUAGAUAGAAACCAACCUUGGACAAUGGAGCAGUGUGAUGGAUAUUUGGGUCAUCCUUUGAGAACAAAUUCAAUAUAAAUUAUGUGGGUCAAUUCGAAAAGUGUUUUUGUGGUUCAAAAUAAAAAUACCAAGAUAUUUUGUAUUAUUUAUUUAUUAAAAAAUUAAAACGGCUCUAAUAAUUUUUAA
Molecule: long non-coding RNA, 3490 nt
Filed under: Diabrotica virgifera virgifera (western corn rootworm)
Lineage: Eukaryota; Metazoa; Arthropoda; Insecta; Coleoptera; Chrysomelidae
Description: uncharacterized LOC126892494
Source: RNAcentral